UACAGAGGGUGCAAGCGUUAAUCGGAAUGACUGGGCGUAAAGCGCAUGUAGGUGGUUUAAUAAGUCUGAUGUGAAAGCCCUGGGCUUAACCUGGGAAUGGCGUUGGAAACUGUUAAGCUGGAGUCGGACAGAGGGCAGUGGAAUUUCCGGUGUAGCAGUGAAAUGCGUAGAGAUCGGAAAGAACACCGGUGGCGAAGGCGGCUGCCUGGGUCCAGACUGACACUAAGGUGCGAAAGCGUGGGGAGCAAACAGG
Molecule: ribosomal RNA, 253 nt
Filed under: uncultured bacterium
Lineage: Bacteria
Description: partial 16S ribosomal RNA
Rfam family: Bacterial small subunit ribosomal RNA
Source: RNAcentral